Xiphophorus hellerii (green swordtail) is the source of this 196-nucleotide long non-coding RNA. RefSeq lists it as uncharacterized. The record is from RefSeq and is a predicted model, not a curated record. The transcript is spliced from 3 exons. Lineage: Eukaryota; Metazoa; Chordata; Actinopteri; Cyprinodontiformes; Poeciliidae.
AUACUUCAGGUACACCCACGAGCUCUCUGAAGUGUCUUAUCUAUUUUCACUCCGUGUAUUUACGCAGAAAGACAGAAAAAAACCCUGGAUUUAUCAUGUUUUGUGUGUUAUUUUUGAUUGUUGUUUUGGAUUUGAACUUGUAUCUAGCCAUGAGUUUCAUGAAUGUUCACACUAUUACCUUUUUUUUUUCAUUUGU